Molecule: ribosomal RNA, 399 nt
Filed under: uncultured bacterium
Lineage: Bacteria
Description: bacterial SSU rRNA
Rfam family: Bacterial small subunit ribosomal RNA
Source: RNAcentral
GACGAACGCUGGCGGCGUGCUUAACACAUGCAAGUCGAGCGGUAAGGCCCUUUCGGGGGUACACGAGCGGCGAACGGGUGAGUAACACGUGGGUGACCUGCCCUCAGCUCUGGGAUAAGCCUGGGAAACUGGGUCUAAUACUGGAUAUGACUCCACGGUGCAUGUCGUGGGGUGGAAAGCCUUGUGCGGCUGAGGAUGGGCCCGCGGCCUAUCAGCUUGUUGGUGGGGGAUGGCCUACCAAGGCGACGACGGGUAGCCGGCCUGAGAGGGCGACCGGCCACACUGGGACUGAGACACGGCCCAGACUCCUACGGGAGGCAGCAGUGGGGAAUCUUGCGCAAUGGGCGAAAGCCUGACGCAGCGACGCCGCGUGAGGGAUGACGGCCUGGUGUAACGUAC